This 64-nucleotide transfer RNA is filed under the name Ixodes ovatus. RNAcentral describes it as "tRNA-Met". The record is from RNAcentral. Lineage: Eukaryota; Metazoa; Arthropoda; Arachnida; Ixodida; Ixodidae.
AUAAAGUAAGCUAAGUUAAGCUAGUGGGUUCAUACCCCAAAAAUGAGUUUAAUAUUCCUUUAUU